This 75-nucleotide transfer RNA is filed under the name Holophaga sp. RNAcentral describes it as "tRNA-Thr". It matches the Rfam family "tRNA". Rfam says of the family: Transfer RNA (tRNA) molecules are approximately 80 nucleotides in length. Their secondary structure includes four short double-helical elements and three loops (D, anti-codon, and T loops). Lineage: Bacteria; Pseudomonadati; Acidobacteriota; Holophagae; Holophagales; Holophagaceae. RNAcentral also lists the same sequence under 3 other names. The record is from RNAcentral.
GCCGGUAUAGCUCAGGGGUAGAGCAACGGUUUCGUAAACCGUAGGUCGGGGGUUCAAAUCCCUCUACCGGCUCCA